UACAGAGGGGGCAAGCGUUGUUCGGAAUUACUGGGCGUAAAGGGCGCGUAGGUGGCCUUCUAAGUUGAACGUGAAAUCCCUGGGCUCAACCCAGGAACUGCGUCCAAGACUGGGAGGCUUGAAUCCGGGAGAGGGAUGCGGAAUUCCAGGUGUAGCGGUGAAAUGCGUAGAUAUCUGGAGGAACACCGGUGGCGAAGGCGGCAUCCUGGACCGGGAUUGACACUGAGGCGCGAAAGCCAGGGGAGCAAACAGG
Molecule: ribosomal RNA, 253 nt
Filed under: uncultured bacterium
Lineage: Bacteria
Description: partial 16S ribosomal RNA
Rfam family: Bacterial small subunit ribosomal RNA
Source: RNAcentral